This 514-nucleotide ribosomal RNA is filed under the name uncultured bacterium. RNAcentral describes it as "bacterial SSU rRNA". It matches the Rfam family "Bacterial small subunit ribosomal RNA", at positions 8 to 518 of the family's 1533-position model. The record is from RNAcentral.
AGAGUUGAUCAUGGCUCAGGAUGAACGCUAGCGACAGGCUAACACAUGCAAGUCGAGGGCAGCAUAGAAGUAGCAAUACUUGGUGGCGACCGGCGCACGGGUGAGUAACGCGUAUGCAACCUACCUAUCAGAGGGGAAUAACCCGGCGAAAGUCGGACUAAUACCGCAUAAAACAGGGGCACCGCAUGGUGAUAUUUGUUAAAGAAAUUCGCUGAUAGAUGGGCAUGCGUUCCAUUAGGUAGUUGGUGAGGUAACGGCUCACCAAGCCGACGAUGGAUAGGGGAACUGAGAGGUUGGUCCCCCACACUGGUACUGAGACACGGACCAGACUCCUACGGGAGGCAGCAGUGAGGAAUAUUGGUCAAUGGGCGGGAGCCUGAACCAGCCAAGUCGCGUGAAGGAAGAAGGAUCUAUGGUUCGUAAACUUCUUUUGCAGGGGAAUAAAGUGCAGGACGUGUCCUGUUUUGUAUGUACCCUGAGAAUAAGGAUCGGCUAACUCCGUGCCAGCCGCCGC